UACAGAGGGUGCAAGCGUUACUCGGAGUUACUGGGCGUAAAGAGCUCGUAGGUGGUUUGUCGCGUUGUUCGUGAAAACCGGGGGCUUAACCCUCGGCGUGCGGGCGAUACGGGCAGACUUGAGUACUGCAGGGGAGACUGGAAUUCCUGGUGUAGCGGUGGAAUGCGCAGAUAUCAGGAGGAACACCGGUGGCGAAGGCGGGUCUCUGGGCAGUAACUGACGCUGAGGAGCGAAAGCGUGGGGAGCGAACAGG
Molecule: ribosomal RNA, 253 nt
Filed under: uncultured bacterium
Lineage: Bacteria
Description: partial 16S ribosomal RNA
Rfam family: Bacterial small subunit ribosomal RNA
Source: RNAcentral